This 496-nucleotide ribosomal RNA is filed under the name uncultured bacterium. RNAcentral describes it as "partial 16S ribosomal RNA". It matches the Rfam family "Bacterial small subunit ribosomal RNA", at positions 355 to 842 of the family's 1533-position model. The record is from RNAcentral.
UAGGGAAUCUUCCACAAUGGACGCAAGUCUGAUGGAGCAACGCCGCGUGAGUGAAGAAGGUUUUCGGAUCGUAAAGCUCUGUUGUUGGUGAAGAAGGAUAGAGGCAGUAACUGGUCUUUAUUUGACGGUAAUCAACCAGAAAGUCACGGCUAACUACGUGCCAGCAGCCGCGGUAAUACGUAGGUGGCAAGCGUUGUCCGGAUUUAUUGGGCGCAAAGCGAGCGCAGGCGGAAUGAUAAGUCUGAUGUGAAAGCCCACGGCUCAACCGUGGAACUGCAUCGGAAACUGUCAUUCUUGAGUGCAGAAGAGGAGAGUGGAACUCCAUGUGUAGCGGUGGAAUGCGUAGAUAUAUGGAAGAACACCAGUGGCGAAGGCGGCUCUCUGGUCUGCAACUGACGCUGAGGCUCGAAAGCAUGGGUAGCGAACAGGAUUAGAUACCCUGGUAGUCCAUGCCGUAAACGAUGAGCGCUAGGUGUUGGGGACUUUCCGGUUCUCA